UACGGAGGGAGCUAGCGUUGUUCGGAAUUACUGGGCGUAAAGCGCACGUAGGCGGCGAUUUAAGUCAGAGGUGAAAGCCCGGGGGCUCAACCCCGGACUGCCUUUGUAGACUGGAUUGCUAGAAUCUUGGAGAGGCGAGUGGAAUUCCGAGUGUAGAGGUGAAAUUCGUAGAUAUUCGGAAGAACACCAGUGGCGAAGGCGGCUCGCUGGACAAGUAUUGACGCUGAGGUGCGAAAGCGUGGGGAGCAAACAGG
This 254-nucleotide ribosomal RNA is filed under the name uncultured bacterium. Its description in RNAcentral is "partial 16S ribosomal RNA". It matches the Rfam family "Bacterial small subunit ribosomal RNA", at positions 524 to 776 of the family's 1533-position model. The record is from RNAcentral.